RNAcentral lists this ribosomal RNA (655 nucleotides) under uncultured fungus. RNAcentral describes it as "eukaryotic LSU rRNA". It matches the Rfam family "Eukaryotic large subunit ribosomal RNA", at positions 24 to 664 of the family's 3401-position model. The record is from RNAcentral. Lineage: Eukaryota; Fungi.
CCCGCUGAACUUAAGCAUAUCAAUAAGCGGAGGAAAAGAAACUAACAAGGAUUCCCCUAGUAACGGCGAGUGAAGAGGGAAGAGCUCAAAUUUUGAAUCCGGCACCUUUGGUGUCUGAGUUGUAAUCUAGAGAAGUGCUUUCUGUGGCGGACCGUGCACAAGUCUCCUGGAAUGGAGCGUCAUAGAGGGUGAGAAUCCCGUAUAUGGCACGGACUCCCGUUGCUCUGUGAAACACUCUCAACGAGUCGAGUUGUUUGGGAAUGCAGCUCCAAAUGGGUGGUAAAUGCCAUCUAAAGCUAAAUAUUGGCGAGAGACCGAUAGCGAACAAGUACCGUGAGGGAAAGAUGAAAAGCACUUUGGAAAGAGAGUUAAACAGUACGUGAAAUUGUUGAAAGGGGAACGCUUGAAGUCAGUCGCGUUAGUCGGGGAUCAGCCUUCCUUUUGGUUGGUGUACUUCCUGAUUGACGGGUCAGCAUCAGUUUUGACCGGUGGAUAAGAGCUUGAGGAAUGUGGCAUCUUCGGGUGUGUUAUAGCCUCUUGUUGUAUACAUCGGUUGGGACUGAGGAACUCAGCACGCCGCAAGGCCGGGUUUUUAACCACGUACGUGCUUAGGAUGCUGGCAUAAUGGCUUUAAUCGACCCGUCUUGAAACACGG